Long non-coding RNA from Topomyia yanbarensis, 1907 nucleotides. RefSeq lists it as uncharacterized. The record is from RefSeq and is a predicted model, not a curated record. NCBI's taxonomy places the organism in Eukaryota, Metazoa, Arthropoda, Insecta, Diptera, Culicidae. The transcript is spliced from 3 exons.
CAUGUUUUCUUCGAAGAAAAAUUUUUUUUCUUGGAAUUUGUUACGUAACAGGGGAGGGGGGGAUGGAGAAAUUUGUGACAAUUUGUUACAUCGUUACAUACCCCCGUGUUCAAAUCAUUCAUCGCAAGAGUAUGGUGCACAAAAUCUUUCCGGAUUCGAACGUGAAACAGCAAAUUAAAGUGGUGAGUUUGAUUAUUGUCAAAUAUUUAUCAAGUGACGAUAAUUAUUUUUAUCUUUCAGAAAAAAAAAACUUCGCAGAGGAUUUUAACAUAAAAGCACAGAGUUUAUUCACCAGCUGCAUUUGGGCCCGUUCAAAAUCACCACAGUUUUUCAAUUCCGUGAUCGAAAGUUCUACCUAGCACACUAAAACUAUGCUGCAAAAAUGUUUAUAAACCUCUAUGAAGAAUACCAAUUUCUUACAAAGGCAGCAGGUAUGGGCGAGCAUCACUACUGUAUGCACUACUGCAAGAUUAAGAUUUGAUUAGAGAUCCGUACGGCUUGACUGUUGGAUUCACCAAGGGAGCGGGAGACUGCGAACUCCACCAGAGAGCCAAUCCAGGACCGAUCAGUGUGGGUGGGCCUCGGGUGCAGUUUAUAAAAUUACCGGUGUCAUUGACAAUGGACUGGCCGCGCUCACGUUUGACAGCGACUACCAGGAUGGGCACGCAGCUGUAAAAAUAAUCACGGACGCGUUCGGUGGAAUCACUGGAGACAGAUCUCGCCGCUCGGAAAUUUUGAUACCAUUAAGCGAACUAUGAAAUUCUCGGCUGAUUAUGCUUAGGCCAUCCCGGUUUCUAUACGAGCGUUGAAUUGAUACCUUAGUCACUGGGUGAAUUCAGGAAAAUAUAAGAAGCAGAUUAUAUGGAAGAUUAUUGUUGUAAAUUUAUUAUUUAGUGUAAUUCAGUACCGGAAUUACUGGGAAUAAAAUUUUACCGCGAAAAUGACAAGCAAGGCAGUACUUUUUGGUCUUGGGCAAUGUAAUAUUUUAGAAUUGUGUUGAAGAUACCAAUAAACCAAAUUCCAAGAGAUGUGUUUGUGUUUUUUAAUGGGUGAUUGUGUGUAUGUGUUAGUUAUUUCGCGAUGAUGGUUGAUGCGCAAUAGUUAAUGGUUUAUGCGCAAUAGUUUUUGUGCUCGUAUUCAAAUUGCUGUAUAUUUGCCUAGUACAAUGCUGAAGGAAUGGAUUUGAAAGCGGUGGCAGGUUAGUAGAAUGAGAGUGGAGGAAGCGUCAGAAAUCUUUUCUUAUUUCGGUAUGCGAGGUGGAUGAAGGGAAUGCUGGUGUGAGGGUGGUCCAAAUCUUGCGUGGUGGAUAAGAGUGGGAGAUCCGAGCGAGUGUUGGUUAAUUGAUCUCUGAAUCUCAUGACUAAUAAUGAUUAGAUCGAGUGUUUUGGCGGACAGCUGGUAUGGAUGUUUAUACUUUUGAAUGGAGGGACAUAUUGGUUCAGCUGGUCGAAGACGCAUUUGAUUUUGGGCAUAGUGACCGAUUCUUUCGAUUCAAAUCAAUGGACUGUAUCUAUAACAGAUGAUCAGACUGAAGGUGGGUGUUUUUAUCUCUUAACUCGCUCGAACUGUCGCUCCCUCUUAACCGCUUGUAAAUAUGGCAAGUAACAUUCGUCUAUAACGAAUAGGAUUCGCUGUUUUCAGAAACAGGGAUGACUAUCUCUUAUGGAUGGAUUCUUUUUCUUAAACAUACUGUUCAGACACUAGUUAAUGCUCAACUAGCUCAACAUAAAUAGAAACACGUACUUUUUGAAGAAAUCCAAUCCACGCGAACCAUAUCACCAAACACCUAAAAGUAGUUUAGAUGCAUGUAAUAUCUAUUUCUUUUUGUAUUUCAAUAGUAUAGAAAAUCUCUUUAUUCUCGAAGAUAUUCUCCCAUUUUAUAGAUCAAUUUAUUCUAUCUUAACAUU